This 1077-nucleotide long non-coding RNA is filed under the name Setaria viridis. Its description in RNAcentral is "long non-coding RNA (SVIR_LNC007074)". The record is from RNAcentral. Lineage: Eukaryota; Viridiplantae; Streptophyta; Magnoliopsida; Poales; Poaceae.
GAAUUUACUCUAUAUUCAUUCAUCAGUGAUAUCUGGGAGCCUAUUCCCUGGGAGAUAGCUGCAGAGUUUCAGAAUAUGAUCAUCCUAUUUGAAUCGGGCAAGUGCAUUGUUGUACAAGAGCAUGUUAUUUGUGGCCUACCUAACCUGAAGGGAGAUCACAUUUAAUUCCUAGGAAUGGAUCGGUACUCAUAGGGGCCAUACUGGAUCUACUAGCAGGGACUAAGAAAUGUGGCAGGUGUCAACGAUGAUCCCACGAUCUGCAUUUCAUAUGUUCCUAGGGUCUGAAUUUGGUUACGAGGAACAUGGUUGCUGCCUAGCUAUGAGUAAAUUAGUGAUCUUUAAUUUUGUAACACUCGUGCCGCUCGUUGCAUUAUGAGACCAUGCAUUUGUAUGUAUAUAUAUAUAUAUAAUACAAAUAUAAAUAUUAUUACUGAUCAUCAAUUAUGUAGUGUUGAGCAUAGGUAAAUGAACAUUGGAGUAUCUGAAAGAUAAAUAUGCUAGAAUCAAACUGAAUAGCCAUAAAACCAAAGUGGCACAAUCAGAUGGCAUGUCAUAGCCAUUCAUCACUACAAAAUUCAUAAUCAUCAUUCAUACUUAUCCUAAUAUGCCAGAUAGUACCAUAAGCUACCAAACUACAAGCACGAUCCCACCUCUCAACCAUCUACCUAUACCCAGCAUUAUAGCAGGAACAAACCCAAGGCUACAGCAAAAAGGCACAAUGGUUAGUUUAGCAUUAUACCUUUAAUCAUCCCUGAUGGACUUUUUAUCCUCUGCCUCUUGAUGUGAUUACUUGACCAUCAUCCCCACAUUAGUGGCUUGUUCCAGAUAUUGCUUCACCUUCUACAGCUCAUUGAGAGUCUAUUUAAGCACCAUGUUAGCUUUUGUGCAUUCUUCCUCCCACAUCCUUACAUUGUUUUCAGCUUUAUGGUUUCUCCUAAUCAACUCCAAGAUGACCUCCCCAAAGGUCUGCCUCUCCAUUGUCUUCCCAUCCCAUGCCUCUCCCAAUUUUUGUUCCCACAUCCUUGCAUCAUUUUUAGAUUUUGACUUCGUGUUCAUCAGCUACAAGUGGUUUCCCCA